This 69-nucleotide transfer RNA is filed under the name Campyloscelina sp. AH-2016. RNAcentral describes it as "tRNA-Glu". Lineage: Eukaryota; Metazoa; Arthropoda; Insecta; Coleoptera; Curculionidae. The record is from RNAcentral.
AUUUAUAUAGUUUAAUCAUUUAAAAACAUUACACUUUCAUUGUAAAAUUAGAUUCCUAUCUUAUAAAUA